UAUACAUCAACUUUUCAUAAUCUGCCAAAGCAACAAAGGGAGCAUAAAAGAGAACUGUAAACAAGGAUUCACAGAAGAAAGAAAAAGAAAAGAAAUAAGUUGGAGAUAUCUCCAACCUUCAAUCUCUAGUUCCCAUGAUUUCUUUAGCAGAUGUAUAUCAUGUGGUGGCUGCCACAGUUCCAUUGUAUUUUGCCAUGAUAUUGGCCUACAUCUCUAUGAAAUGGUGGAGGCUUUUUACACCAGAUCAGUGUGCAGGCAUAAACAAAUUUGUUGCUAAAUUUUCAAUCCCACUAUUAUCUUUCCAUGUUAUUUCCAGCAACAAUCCCUACAAAAUGAACCUGAAACUCAUAGUAGCCGACUUUCUUCAGAAACUAUUAGCCCUCCUAGUACUGACAGCACUCACCAAAAUCAGCUCCAGAGGAAGGUUGAAUUGGAUAAUCACUGGUCUUUCUCUGUCAACAUUGCCCAAUACUUUGAUCCUGGGAAUUCCACUUUUGAAGGCUAUGUAUGGGGUUGAAGCUGAGGGACUCCUUUCCCAGAUAAUUGUCUUACAAAGCUUAAUUUGGUAUAAUUUGUUGUUGUUUCUCUUUGAGCUAAAUGCUACCUAUGCAGCUCCAGUAACACCAUCUUCAGAAAUUACUGAGGACCAGGAGGCCCCUCAAGAUGCCCAAUCAAAAGAGGGAGAAGAGGAAACACAUACCAGAACAACAAGAAGAGUUAAGACCAUGCUCAUUCUCUUGACAGUGGGGAGGAAGCUAUUGAGAAAUCCCAAUUUUCAUGCUACUUUGUUGGGUCUUAUUUGGGCAAGCAUACGCUUUAGGUGGGGAGUGAAAAUGCCAGAAAUUCUUGAUAAUUCUAUAAUGAUAUUGUCUAAUGGAGGGCUUGGUAUGGCAAUGUUCAGCUUAGGUCUGUUCAUGGCAUCACGCACCAGUAUAAUAGCGUGUGGCAUCCGAAUGGCAGUGCUAGCUAUGGCAGUGAAGUUCAUUGCAGGGCCUGCCCUAAUGGUAGUUGCUUCCCUAGCCACUACACUGAGGGGCACAGUGUUUAAAGUGGCAAUUGUUCAGGUACAUGAAUUUUGUUUCUUUUAAUCAGCACCUCAGGAGUCAUAAAAGGUUAAACAAUGGUUGUCUACUGCAGGCAGCUCUACCUCAAGGGAUUGUUCCAUUUGUGUUUUCUAAAGAAUAUAAUAUUCAUCCAGAUAUAUUAAGCACAGGGGUAAUUUUUGGUAUGCUCAUUGCAUUGCCAAUAGCAUUGGCCUACUACUCCCUUUUAGCAUUGUGAAAUCCUACAGAAACAAAGCAGCAAAACACCAGAAGAAGCCAUUUGAAGUCGAAGAAAGCUCGAAUUGUUGAAGAAGAACUUUAGAAGUCUCACUCAGUUUUCUUCCAAUUUUUGGACAGUUUGUUCAAUUUCCUUUGACAUGCUAAUGUGAUAUGACAGAUUUUUUUUGUUUCCUUCAUUCUCAUGAAAACAGAAAUGUAUCUAUCAGAAAAAUUAACAAGCUAAUGCAAUAAUGGAAUAGUCAUCAGUUAUGAGUAAACAUCUUUCAUUUGUGAUAAUGGAA
RNAcentral lists this unclassified non-coding RNA (1564 nucleotides) under Hevea brasiliensis (rubber tree). Lineage: Eukaryota; Viridiplantae; Streptophyta; Magnoliopsida; Malpighiales; Euphorbiaceae. The record is from RNAcentral.